RNAcentral lists this ribosomal RNA (525 nucleotides) under uncultured bacterium. Its description in RNAcentral is "bacterial SSU rRNA". It matches the Rfam family "Bacterial small subunit ribosomal RNA", at positions 355 to 896 of the family's 1533-position model. The record is from RNAcentral.
UGGGGAAUUUUGCGCAAUGGGGGAAACCCUGACGCAGCAACGCCGCGUGGAGGAUGAAGUACUUCGGUACGUAAACUCCUUUCGAUCGGGACGAUAAUGACGGUACCGGAAGAAGAAGCCCCGGCUAACUUCGUGCCAGCAGCCGCGAUAAUACGAGGGGGGCAAGCGUUGUUCGGAAUUAUUGGGCGUAAAGGGUGCGUAGGCGGUUUGGUAAGUCUUGUGUGAAAUCUCCGGGCUCAACUCGGAGUCUGCACGAGAAACUGCCGGGCUUGAGUGUGGGAGAGGUGAGUGGAAUUUCCGGUGUAGCGGUGAAAUGCGUAGAUAUCGGGAGGAACACCUGUGGCGAAAGCGGCGCACUGGACCAUAACUGACGCUGAGGCGCGAAAGCUAGGGGAGCAAACAGGAUUAGAUACCCUGGUAGUCCUAGCCCUAAACGAUGAUUGCUUGGUGUAGCAGGUACCCAAUCCUGCUGUGCCGCAGCUAACGCGAUAAGCAAUCCGCCUGGGGAGUACGGUCGCAAGGCUG